Molecule: microRNA precursor, 204 nt
Filed under: Oryza rufipogon (brownbeard rice)
Lineage: Eukaryota; Viridiplantae; Streptophyta; Magnoliopsida; Poales; Poaceae
Description: MIR812 microRNA precursor family
Rfam family: MIR812 microRNA precursor family
Source: Rfam by way of RNAcentral
AAUAGAUGAUGCUGUUGACUUUUUUUCACACGUUUAACCAUUCGUUUUAUUCAAAAAAUUUACGUAAUUAUAAUUUAUUUUGUUGUGAGUCGUUUUAUCACUCAUAGUACUUUAAGUGUGAUUUAUAUCUUAUACAUUUGAAUAAAAUUUUUAAUAAGACGAAUGGUUAAAUAUGUGAGAAAAAAGUCAACGGCGUCAUCUAUU